GCCAGACUCCUACGGGAGGCAGCAGUGAGGAAUAUUGGUCAAUGGGCGGGAGCCUGAACCAGCCAAGUCGCGUGAGGGAAGAAGGUACUGAGUAUUGUAAACCUCUUUUGCCAGGGGACAAAGGCGGCCACGGGUGGCCGUAAGAGGGUACCUGGAGAAAAAGCAUCGGCUAACUACGUGCCAGCAGCCGCGGUAAUACGUAGGGAGCAAGCGUUGUCCGGAAUUACUGGGUGUAAAGGGAGCGUAGGCGGGAUGGCAAGUAGAAUGUUAAAUCCAUCGGCUCAACCGGUGGCUGCGUUCUAAACUGCCGUUCUUGGGUGAAGUAGAGGCAGGCGGAAUUCCUAGUGUAGCGGUGAAAUGCGUAGAUAUUAGGAGGAACACCAGUGGCGAAGGCGGCCUGCUGGACGACAACUGACGGUGAGGCGCGAAAGCGUGGGGAGCAAACAGGAUUAGAUACCCUUGUACC
This 466-nucleotide ribosomal RNA is filed under the name uncultured bacterium. Its description in RNAcentral is "bacterial SSU rRNA". It matches the Rfam family "Bacterial small subunit ribosomal RNA", at positions 330 to 794 of the family's 1533-position model. The record is from RNAcentral.